Molecule: ribosomal RNA, 148 nt
Filed under: Senecio cyaneus
Lineage: Eukaryota; Viridiplantae; Streptophyta; Magnoliopsida; Asterales; Asteraceae
Description: partial 5.8S ribosomal RNA
Rfam family: 5.8S ribosomal RNA
About the family: 5.8S ribosomal RNA (5.8S rRNA) is a component of the large subunit of the eukaryotic ribosome. It is transcribed by RNA polymerase I as part of the 45S precursor that also contains 18S and 28S rRNA.
Source: RNAcentral
ACGGAUAUCUCGGCUCACGCAUCGAUGAAGAACGUAGCAAAAUGCGAUACUUGGUGUGAAUUGCAGAAUCCCGUGAACCAUCGAGUUUUUGAACGCAAGUUGCGCCCGAAGCCUUUUGGCUGAGGGCACGUCUGCCUGGGCGUCACAC